Molecule: long non-coding RNA, 602 nt
Filed under: Gallus gallus (chicken)
Lineage: Eukaryota; Metazoa; Chordata; Aves; Galliformes; Phasianidae
Source: RNAcentral
GUUUAUUGUUUACUACUUCGGAAACUAAGACCACAGUGAAAAGGACAGCUUCCAAAAUAGCAAAGAAAGUUACUGCUACUAACAAAAUAACUUUAAAAUAAGUAUUGCUGAAUGGACUGCCUCAUUUCGACAGUUAUUCGUUCCUACCAUGGAUCACAGAGAACAGUUAAACUGUGUUAAAUUAGGCUUCAGUUAGAUAGAUCCUUGUCACUGUUAAUUGGCUUCCUAUAGAUGUCAUUAGGAUUGUUUGUAGAAGAAGACAAGACUGGGCUGGCGAGGUGCUCCAGCCCUCUGAUCAUCUUCAUGGCCUCAUCUGGACCUGCUCCAACAGCUCUACAUCCUUCUUGUUUUGGGGAUCCCAGGCCUGAAUGCAGUACUGCAGAUCAUCUAGAAACUCCAUUCUAUCUGAACUACAGAAAGUCUAGGGAAGAAAAAAAAAAAACUUUAGCAGGGUAAACUCUGCAACAAGCUUAAAAGAAUUCCAAGAGCAAGAUGUAAAUUCUUCAGCCAAUGGAGUUUGUGGCAUAUAUUCAACAUCUAUUGUUACAACUAAGACAGACUGAUCUGAGCUGAAAAUAUCAAUAACAGGAAUUGCUGGAACA